UACGACUACAUAUCAGGCAUAUCAAUAAGCGGAGGAAAAGAAACUAACUAGGAUUCCCUUAGUAACGGCGAGUGAAGCGGGAAGAGCUCAAAUUUGAAAUCUUCAAGGUUUUACCUUGACGAAUUGUAGUUUAAAGAAGUGUUUUCUGUUGGAUGUUUUGGUAAAAGUUCUUUGGAAUAGGACAUCAUAGAGGGUGAGAAUCCCGUAUUUGACCAUUUCUUCCAGCUGUGUGAUACACUUUCAAAGAGUCGGAUUGUUUGGGAAUGCAGUCCAAAAUGGGUGGUAAAUUUCAUCUAAAGCUAAAUAUUGGCGAGAGACCGAUAGCGAACAAGUACCGUGAGGGAAAGAUGAAAAGAACUUUGAAAAGAGAGUUAAACAGUACGUGAAAUUGUCAAAAGGGAAGCGUUUGACACCAGUGUUGUUUUUCCGAAAAUCAAUUACAAAUGGGAUUUUGUUUUGAGGAGUUAUGACUUCAUCAGCUUUCUGCACUUUCUUUACUGAUCUUUCUUAAUGCACUUUUCGUUUAACAAGUCAACAUCAAUUUCUUUUGUUGUAAAAGGGUAUGAGGAAGGUGGCUUUCUUUUCGGAGAAAGUGUUUAUAGCCUUGUGCCUCUGCAAUCGGAGAGAUUGAGGUCUGCAGCGUAGAUCCUUCGGGGUUAGAUACAUUUGUGCUAAGUUAUAGCUUUUCAUAGACAACUUGUUGACUAUGUUUAGUCUUGUAGCUUACUCGCUUAUGCUAUUUUACCUACGCUUAGGAUGUUGAACGCGCACAGAGUCUC
RNAcentral lists this ribosomal RNA (779 nucleotides) under uncultured Neocallimastigales. RNAcentral's name for it is "partial large subunit ribosomal RNA". It matches the Rfam family "Eukaryotic large subunit ribosomal RNA", at positions 24 to 614 of the family's 3401-position model. The record is from RNAcentral. Lineage: Eukaryota; Fungi; Neocallimastigomycota; Neocallimastigomycetes; Neocallimastigales.